UACGUAGGGGGCAAGCGUUGUCCGGAAUCAUUGGGCGUAAAGAGCGUGUAGGCGGCCAGAAAAGUCCGCUGUGAAAACUCGAGGCUCAACUUCGAGCUGUCGGUGGAAACUUUCUGGCUAGAGUCCGGAAGAGGAGAAUGGAGUUCCUGGUGUAGCGGUGAAAUGCGCAGAUAUCAGGAAGAACACCCGUGGCGAAGGCGGUUCUCUGGGACGGUACUGACGCUGAGACGCGAAAGCGUGGGGAGCGAACAGG
RNAcentral lists this ribosomal RNA (253 nucleotides) under uncultured bacterium. RNAcentral's name for it is "partial 16S ribosomal RNA". It matches the Rfam family "Bacterial small subunit ribosomal RNA", at positions 524 to 776 of the family's 1533-position model. The record is from RNAcentral.